This is a non-coding RNA of Phoenix dactylifera (date palm), 3734 nucleotides long. The record is from RefSeq and is a predicted model, not a curated record. Lineage: Eukaryota; Viridiplantae; Streptophyta; Magnoliopsida; Arecales; Arecaceae.
CUGUGCGUUUUCGGUGGCGGCGGGGGACCGAUAACCGUUCACCUUUCCUUUUCGACGCAACCGCCGUUCUCCCCUCGGCUCUUCUCCUAAGUACCAAAUUCCCAACCCGUCGUUCAAACCCUAACCUAACUCUCCUUCCCUUCUCUCCGCCCUUCUAUCCCCAUUUGCCUCGUUCCGUGAUCGCGCGCUCAGAGGCUUCCAGCUAGAUUUUCGGCUCUGUACUCUUAUUAAGCUGCUGUAACAUUGUUCUAAUGGCAAAUCUUGAAAAAAGACGUGAGAAUGAAGCAAUAGCUUCAGUGUCGGAGGCAGCUAGUUUUAGUCAGGUGGAAGAGACUUCACCGGAUUUAUUGAAGAACACUCCUUCUAACAUAGCCAGAUUGGAAGAUGUGAUUGAACACUGCAAGGGUCGGCAGAAGUAUCUUGCACAGACAAAGAGCCCAUCUGAUGGGGAGGAUGUCCGUUGGUACUUCUGCAAAGUGCCUCUAGCAGAGAAAGAACUUGCAGCUUCAGUUCCUCAAACAGAAAUAGUGGGGAAAAGUGAUUAUUUCCGAUUUAGUAUGAGAGACUCACUUGCACUAGAGGCUUCUUUCUUACAGAGGGAAGAAGAGCUACUUGCACAUUGGUGGGGAGAAUAUGCAGAAUGCAGUGCAGGUCCAAGUGGCCCUUCUACGGCUAAUAUGGCUACUGGCUCUAGAUCUGAUGAUCUGUAUGUGGUCGAGGAAGAGAGGGUUGGUGUCCCUGUAAAGGGUGGCCUUUAUGAGGUAGAUCUAACUAAGCGCCACUGCUUCCCAGUUUAUUGGCAUGGUGAAAACAGACGUGUCUUGAGAGGCCACUGGUUUGCUUGUAAAGGUGGCCUUGAUUGGCUUCCCCUACGUGAAGAUGUUGCGGAACAAUUGGAGUUGGCUUACCGCUGUCAGGUUUGGCAUCGCCGGACAUAUCAACCUUCAGGCCUUUUUGCUGCCCGUGUUGAUCUGCAAGGCCCCACACAGGGCUUGCAUGCUCUUUUCACAGGAGUGGAUGAUACUUGGGAGGCUUGGUUAGUCUCUCAUAACUCUAGUUUUACUCUUAAUGCUGGAAGAGGAAAUGGUGUCAAGCUAAGACGUGGUUUUUCACCUUCUGGAUCUCUGAAUCCAACUCAGGAUGAAUUGCGCCAACGAAAAGAGGAGGAGAUGGAUGAUUAUUGUUCUCAGGUGCCAGUCGGCCACCUAGUUUUCAUGGUUCAUGGUAUUGGACAGAGGUUAGAGAAAGCUAAUUUAGUCGAUGAUGUUGGUGAUUUUCGUCGUAUAACAGCUAGUCUAGCUGAAAGGCACUUAACUCCAUACCAGAGAAGCACCCAGAGGGUCCUCUUUAUUCCUUGUCAGUGGAGAAGGGCUCUGAAGCUCAGUGGUGAAAGUGCAGUUGAAAAGAUCACCUUGGAUGGUGUCCGGGGUCUGCGUGUAACAUUAAGUGCUACAGUUCAUGAUGUUCUAUACUACAUGAGCCCAAUAUACUGUCAAGAUAUAAUUGACUCGGUUUCAAACCAGUUAAACAGAUUGUAUGCGAAGUUUCUCAAAAGAAAUCCAGGCUACAAUGGGAAGGUUUCAAUAUAUGGUCACUCAUUAGGAAGUGUACUGUCUUAUGAUAUCCUUUGCCAUCAAGAAUGCUUAUGUUCACCUUUUCCUAUGGAGUCUGUUUACAUGGAAAGGAUACCAGAGCAAGAGUCUGUAGCUGAUGCCUCCUGCCAAGCUUUUGUAUCCAGUGGUACCAUGACUUCUCAAAAUAACAACAAUAACAUAAAUGGUGCAAAUUUGGAACAGCUGGCAUGUACAGCUACGGAAGGCAGUUCUAUGUCGCAUCCGUAUAUCAUGGUUAACGAGCAUAAUUCUCAAGACAUUUCAGCAGACGUGUUAGAGGAUUCCUCAAAUAGUAGUGGCUUUAUGUAUCCUAAAGAGGAGUCUGAUGAUUCUGUUCCACGAAAUAUAACUGAAAAGCUAGAUAUUGAUAUGUUGGUCACGGAGGAAGCUGGAAAAGAGUUUGGUCAGCAUUCUGGAGCUACAUUCAAUGCAGAAGAAAGAGAUUCUAAUGCAAGUCCAACCACAGGAAAUGGAGAUUAUGAAGGUGAUGCAGUUAAAGUUGCUGGAAUGAUGUCUAAAGACGUAAUUGAUAAAGACAAAUUAAUCUCCUUGUUGGAUGAAGAGGUGAAGGCCCUUAAAGUGAGGAUUGCAGAGCUUGAACAUAAUCUUUGCACUACAAGUUACCCUAAUUGUGAGAAAAUUGGCAACCGUGAAUUUGAUCAAGGAAAAGAGGUUAAAUCUACAAUUAAACAAUCCUCUCUUAGCAAUCUCUCUACAGAGGAAGAUGACAAAAGGAGCUAUACACCUUAUGUUAAAUACACUAAGCUAGAUUUCAAGGUUGAUACAUUCUUUGCUGUCGGAUCACCUCUUGGAGUUUUUCUUGCCCUUCGGAAUAUCCGCAUAGGAAUAGGCAGGGGGCAAGAUUAUUGGCAAGAUGAAAAAAUAUCUGAAGAGAUGCCAUCUUGCAGGCAGAUGUUUAACAUUUUCCAUCCCUUUGAUCCUGUGGCUUACAGAGUAGAACCACUUAUCUGCAAAGAAUACAUCAGCAAGCGCCCUGUUAUUGUACCCUAUCACAGGGGUGGGAAGAGGUUGCAUAUUGGAUUUCAGGAAUUCACUGAAGAUAUAGCUGCACGUUCUCAAGCCAUAGCAAGUCACUUAAACUCUUUGAGGGUCAAAAUGGUUAAUGUUUUUCACUCACGAGACAAGGAUAACAUGGACGAAGCAACGGAAGAAGUCAAAGAAAAAGAAAGAUCGUAUGGCUCCAUUAUGAUUGAAAGACUGACAGGCAGUGAAGAUGGUCGAAUUGACCAUGUUCUCCAGGUGUUCGUAUUAUUUGUUUAUGAUUUUUUUUGGUUAACCAUGCAGGACAAAACAUUUCGGCAUCCCUACUUAUCAGCUUUGGGAUCACAUACUAAUUAUUGGCGUGAUCACGACACUGCUCUCUUCAUUCUCAAACACCUCUAUCGUGAUAUGCCUGAAGAGCCCCCAGCAACUGAACAAUCAAGUAGUGGAUGGCGAUCCAGGACUCAAAGAAGGGCCACAAAACUAAUUUAUGACAGGGAUGCUAUGGAUGAAGAUACUCCGUUGACAUUCUCUGAUAAUUUACUGAUUAGGGAGUUUUCUAGGAAAGCAAAAAGAUCAUGAAUGCCACAUAAUGGUUUUGAAGGCUUCUGCUGCCACAAUAGGGGAGAAUCACAUUACGUGGAAGCAUACGGAGUCCCUAGGAAGCUUGUCUGUGUGUCAGAAUCAAUUGCCGAUACCUGUAAUCAAAUGGCUUAAAACAAAAUGACGAAGGAAUCACAAACUUGCAGGUAAUAUCCUGGUACGAAUCAUUCAUCACUAUCCACCCUUGCACUGCCUUCUAUUUGAUUGAUAUUUAUCUUUUGAUUGUUGUAUCUUAUAUUAAACAUGAGAGAGACUUAGAAUCAAUACCAAACAAAGAAAAUAAGCCCACCAUUUUACACAAGGGAAGGAGAAGUUAGGCAAGGAAAAAGCACAUACUUUCUCCUAUAAAUAUAUCUUUUUUGUGCGACAAAUUUGAAGUUUGUUGUCUUCUUGUACUAGGUUUUCUUUGGAGACUCUCUAGACAAUUUUCUCUUGCACAUGUUGGAUUCUUUCUUUAAUGUACUCAUUUUAUUAGGCAAACCAUCUUAAAUCUUAGUAUAUUUGCAUUGCUUGUCC